Molecule: ribosomal RNA, 497 nt
Filed under: uncultured bacterium
Lineage: Bacteria
Description: partial 16S ribosomal RNA
Rfam family: Bacterial small subunit ribosomal RNA
Source: RNAcentral
GAUGAACGCUGGCGGCGUGCCUAAUACAUGCCAGUCGAGCGAACGGACGAGAAGCUUUCUUCUCUGAUGUUAGCGGCGGACGGGCGUGUAACGCGUGGAUAACCCACCUAUAAGACGGGGAGAACUUCGGAAAACCAGUUAUAAUACCAGAUCAUAUUUUGAACGGCAGGGUUCAAAAGUAAAACGCGGUCUUGCUGUCACUUAGAGACGGUUCCGCGCUGCAUUAGCGAGUUGGUAAGGUAACGGCUUACCAAGGCAACGAUGCAUAGCCGACCUGAGAGGGUGAUCGGCCACACUGGAACUGAGACACGGUCCAGACUCCUACGGGAGGCAGCAGUAGGGAAUCUUCCGCAAUGGGCGCAAGCCUGACGCAGCAACACCGCGUGAGUGAUGAAGGUCUUCGGAUCGUAAAACUCUGUUAUUAGGGAAGAACAGAUGUAUAAGUAACUGUGGACGUCUUGACGGUACCUAAUCAGUAAGCCACGGCUAACUACGUG